RNAcentral lists this ribosomal RNA (446 nucleotides) under [Eubacterium] yurii. RNAcentral's name for it is "bacterial SSU rRNA". It matches the Rfam family "Bacterial small subunit ribosomal RNA", at positions 28 to 457 of the family's 1533-position model. The record is from RNAcentral. Lineage: Bacteria; Bacillati; Bacillota; Clostridia; Peptostreptococcales; Filifactoraceae.
GAUGAACGCGGCGGCGUGCCUAACAUAUGCAAGUCGAACGAAGGUAUAUAUAGGAAGUCUUCGGAUGGAAUAUGUAUAACUUAGUGGCGGACGGGUGAGUAACGCGUAAGUAAUCAACCUGUGACACACGGAUAACUGAUAGAAAUGUCAGCUAAUACGAGAUGAACUGUUUAAAUUGGGAAAUGGAAACAGCAAAGCGAAAGCGGUCACAGACGAGCUUGCGUCUGAUUAGCUAGUUGGUGGGGUAAGAGCCUACCAAGGCGACGAUCAGUAGCCGGCCUGAGAGGGUGAACGGCCACAUUGGAACUGAGACACGGUCCAAACUCCUACGGGAGGCAGCAGUGGGGGAUAUUGCACAAUGGGGGGAACCCUGAUGCAGCAACGCCGCGUGAGUGAAGAAGGCCCUAGGGUCGUAAAGCUUCUGUCGUAUUGGGAAAGAAAACAAA